GGUUGGAUCAUUACAGAAAUGGAGUGGGCUCCGGCCCACCUGCACUGCUGCCCGAAAGGGUUUCAGCGUAGUAAUUUCCAAACAUUUGUGCACUGUUCUGUCUCUGGCGGCGGGGUAAAGUAUGGCAUAUGCAAGUACUGCCAUAGUUGCCUGUCAGUCUGGCGUAAUAGCCUGGCCGUGGACAAACCGCCAAUUGAUUAAACAAACUUUAUAUUUACAAUUUCAGUCUAAAGUAAACUUGUAUGUAAAAUUACAAACAACUUUUGGCAACGGAUCUCUUGGCUCUCGCAACGAUGAAGAACGCAGCGAAAUGCGAUAAGUAGUGUGAAUUGCAGAAUUCAGUGAAUCAUCGAAUCUUUGAACGCACAUUGCGCUCCCUGGCAUUCCGGGGAGCAUGCCCGUUUCAGAAUCAUUAAAUACAUCUCACCACUCUGGUGGUGGACGAUGGACAGUUUGGACUUGCAAAAGUUCAAUUGUCUGAAAAUGAUUGUGCGCGCUCUGGCUGUUGUCGGUUAGCUCUAAAGGUGCAACAAGAUUAACCAUCUAUUCACCUUCUGUGGGCUGGCCAUAUACGACGAAGGCGUUGUGUACUCCCUUUAUUAACCGUGCUGUGUAGCCUAGCUGCAUGGCUCGUUAACUUGGUCUGAAAUCGGGCAAGAAAACCCGCUGAACUUAAGCAUAUCAAUAAGCGGAGGAAAAGAAACUAACAAGGAUUCCCCUAGUAACGGCGAGUGAAGCGGGAACAGCUCAAAUUUGAAAUCUCACAGGGUUACCUGUGCGAAUUGUAGUUUAGAGAAGCGUCUUCGGGGGUGACUUGGGUAUAAGUCCUCUGGAAUGGGGCAUCAUAGAGGGUGAGAAUCCCGUUUAUGAUCCAAUGUUCACUCCUAUGUGAUACGCUUUCCAAGAGUCAGGUAGUUUGGGAUUGCUGCCUAAAAUGGGUGGUAAAUACCAUCUAAAGCUAAAUAUUGGCGAGAGACCGAUAGCGAACAAGUACCGUGAGGGAAAGAUGAAAAGAACUUUGAAAAGAGAGUUAAACAGUACGUGAAAUUGCCAAAAGGGAAACGCUUGGAACCAGUAUUGCCUGCAAGUAAUCAGCCACACAGCCCGAAAGAGUGAUUGUGGUGCACUUGCUUGUAUGCAGGUCAACAUCAGUUUGGUAUCGGGUAAAAAGCCGGAGGAAGGUAGCUUGGGCUUCGGUCUGAGUGUUAUAGCCUACGGUCAUGCCCGGGACUGGACUGAGGCCCGCAGCGUUAUUUGGGUACCCGAUCGCCUCUUGAACCAUAUCUCUAGACAGCACGCUGACUAGGGGUAUAGCUAGGGAGCCCGGUUGGUUUACCACACCAAUGCUUAGGAUGUUGAUGAAAUGGUUCUAAACGACCCGUCUUGAAACACGGACCAAGGAGUCUAACAUAUAUGCGAGUGUUUGGGUGGCAAACCCUUACGCGAAAUGAAAGUGAACUUAGGUGGGAUCUUCGGUGCACCAUCGACCGGUCUGGAUUUUUUUGAUAGAUCUGAGUAAGAGCAUAUCUGUUGGGACCCGAAAGAUGGUGAACUAUGCCUGAAUAGGGUGAAGCCAGAGGAAACUCUGGUGGAGGCUCGUAGCGAUUCUGACGUGCAAAUCGAUCGUCAAAUUUGGGUAUAGGGGCGAAAGACUAAUCGAACCAUCUAGUAGCUGGUUCCCUC
This 1683-nucleotide unclassified non-coding RNA is filed under the name uncultured fungus. Its description in RNAcentral is "sequence contains 18S rRNA gene, ITS1, 5.8S rRNA gene, ITS2, 28S rRNA gene". The stretch from base 640 to 1683 matches the Rfam family "Eukaryotic large subunit ribosomal RNA", at positions 1 to 961 of the family's 3401-position model. Lineage: Eukaryota; Fungi. The record is from RNAcentral.